This 481-nucleotide ribosomal RNA is filed under the name Veillonella atypica. RNAcentral describes it as "bacterial SSU rRNA". It matches the Rfam family "Bacterial small subunit ribosomal RNA", at positions 28 to 480 of the family's 1533-position model. Lineage: Bacteria; Bacillati; Bacillota; Negativicutes; Veillonellales; Veillonellaceae. The record is from RNAcentral.
GACGAACGCUGGCGGCGUGCUUAACACAUGCAAGUCGAACGAAGAGCGAUGGAAGCUUGCUUCUAUCAAUCUUAGUGGCGAACGGGUGAGUAACGCGUAAUCAACCUGCCCUUCAGAGGGGGACAACAGUUGGAAACGACUGCUAAUACCGCAUACGAUCCAAUCUCGGCAUCGAGACUGGAUGAAAGGUGGCCUCUAUUAAUAAGCUACCACUGAAGGAGGGGAUUGCGUCUGAUUAGCUAGUUGGAGGGGUAACGGCCCACCAAGGCGAUGAUCAGUAGCCGGUCUGAGAGGAUGAACGGCCACAUUGGGACUGAGACACGGCCCAGACUCCUACGGGAGGCAGCAGUGGGGAAUCUUCCGCAAUGGACGAAAGUCUGACGGAGCAACGCCGCGUGAGUGAUGACGGCCUUCGGGUUGUAAAGCUCUGUUAAUCGGGACGAAGGUUCUUGUGCGAAUAGUGCGAGGACUGACGGUACCG